AUUGAACGCUGGCGGCAGGCCUAACACAUGCAAGUCGAACGAGUGGCGGACGGGUGAGUAAUGUCGGGGUAACUGCCCGAUGGAGGGGGAUAACUACUGGAAACGGUAGCUAAUACCGCAUACCAUCGGAUGUGCCCAUAUGGGAUGAGCUAGUAGGUGGGGUAAUGGCACACCUAGGCGACGAUCCCUAGCUGGUCUGAGAGGAUGACCAGCCACACUGGAACUGAGACACGGUCCAGACUCCUACGGGAGGCAGAAGUGGGGAAUAUUGCACAAUGGGCGCAAGCCUGAUACAGCCAUGCCGCGUGUAUGAAGAAGGCCUUCGGGUUGUAAAGUACUUUCAGCGAGGAGGCGUUACUCGCAGAAGAAGCACCGGCUAACUCCGUGCCAGCAGCCGCGGUAAUAC
Molecule: ribosomal RNA, 406 nt
Filed under: uncultured bacterium
Lineage: Bacteria
Description: partial 16S ribosomal RNA
Rfam family: Bacterial small subunit ribosomal RNA
Source: RNAcentral